GACAGAGGGUGCAAACGUUGUUCGGAAUUAUUGGGCGUAAAGCGCGUGUAGGCGGCUUUGCAAGUCGGGUGUGAAAGCCCUCAGCUCAACUGAGGAAGUGCGCUCGAAACUGCAUCGCUUGAGUACCGGAGAGGAUGGCGGAAUUCCCCAAGUAGAGGUGAAAUUCGUAGAUAUGGGGAGGAACACCGGUGGCGAAGGCGGCCAUCUGGACGGAUACUGACGCUGAGGCGCGAAAGCCAGGGGAGCAAACGGG
This 253-nucleotide ribosomal RNA is filed under the name uncultured bacterium. Its description in RNAcentral is "partial 16S ribosomal RNA". It matches the Rfam family "Bacterial small subunit ribosomal RNA", at positions 524 to 776 of the family's 1533-position model. The record is from RNAcentral.